RNAcentral lists this transfer RNA (86 nucleotides) under Buchnera aphidicola (Sipha maydis). RNAcentral's name for it is "transfer RNA Leucine". It matches the Rfam family "tRNA". From Rfam's summary of the family: Transfer RNA (tRNA) molecules are approximately 80 nucleotides in length. The record is from RNAcentral. Lineage: Bacteria; Pseudomonadati; Pseudomonadota; Gammaproteobacteria; Enterobacterales; Erwiniaceae.
GCCCGAAUGGUGAAAUUGGUAGACACAAGGGACUUAAAAUCCCUCGGUUAUUUAUAACUUUGCGGGUUCAAGUCCCGCUUCGGGUA